AUAAGUGCUGAAAGCAUCUAAGCACGAAACUUGCCCCGAGAUGAUUUCUCCCUGAGGCUCCGAGCCUCCUGAAGGGACGUUGAAGACGACGACGUUGAUAGGCCGGGUGUGUAAGCGCAGCGAUGCGUUGAGCUUACCGGUACUAAUGACCCGUGAGGCUUAACCUUACAACGCCAGAGGCGUUUUG
RNAcentral lists this ribosomal RNA (187 nucleotides) under Pantoea stewartii. Its description in RNAcentral is "partial 23S ribosomal RNA". The stretch from base 1 to 167 matches the Rfam family "Bacterial large subunit ribosomal RNA", at positions 2764 to 2925 of the family's 2925-position model. The record is from RNAcentral. Lineage: Bacteria; Pseudomonadati; Pseudomonadota; Gammaproteobacteria; Enterobacterales; Erwiniaceae.